AUACGGAGGGUGCAAGCGUUGUUCGGAUUUACUGGGCGUAAAGAGAGUGUAGGUUGUUUAUUAAGUCGGAUGUGAAAUCCCGGGGCUCAACCUCGGAACUGCAUUCGAUACUGGUAGACUAGAGUUCGGGAGGGGUAAGCGGAAUUCCGUGUGUAGCAGUGAAAUGCGUAGAUAUACGGAGGAACACCUGAGGCGAAGGCGGCUUACUGGACCGAUACUGACACUGAGACUCGAAAGCGUGGGUAGCAAACAGGAUUAGAAACCCCAGUAGUCC
This 274-nucleotide ribosomal RNA is filed under the name uncultured bacterium. RNAcentral describes it as "partial 16S ribosomal RNA". It matches the Rfam family "Bacterial small subunit ribosomal RNA", at positions 523 to 796 of the family's 1533-position model. The record is from RNAcentral.